GAUGAAGAACGCAGCGAAAUGCGAUAAGUAAUGUGAAUUGCAGAAUUCAGUGAAUCAUCGAAUCUUUGAACGCACCUUGCGCCUUUUGGUAUUCCGAAAGGCAUGCCUGUUUGAGUGUCAUGAAAUCUCAAUCCUCCUAGGUUUUUGACCUGGUUGGACUCGGACAUGGGCGUCUGCCAGCAAUGGCUCGCCUUAAAUGACUUAGUGGAACAUCCCACAUCAGUGUUAGACGUAAUAAGUUUCGUCUCUCCUUGUGGUGAUGACUGCUCAUAAUCUGCCAUCGCGCACUUUUGACUUUGACCUCAAAUCAGGUAGGGCUACCCGCUGAACUUAAGCAUAUCAAUAAGCGGAGGA
RNAcentral lists this unclassified non-coding RNA (354 nucleotides) under soil metagenome. RNAcentral's name for it is "partial contains 5.8S ribosomal RNA, internal transcribed spacer 2, and large subunit ribosomal RNA". The stretch from base 1 to 120 matches the Rfam family "5.8S ribosomal RNA", at positions 35 to 154 of the family's 154-position model. The record is from RNAcentral.